RNAcentral lists this ribosomal RNA (906 nucleotides) under Orbilia brochopaga. Its description in RNAcentral is "partial large subunit ribosomal RNA". It matches the Rfam family "Eukaryotic large subunit ribosomal RNA", at positions 38 to 963 of the family's 3401-position model. The record is from RNAcentral. Lineage: Eukaryota; Fungi; Ascomycota; Orbiliomycetes; Orbiliales; Orbiliaceae.
GCAUAUCAAUAAGCGGAGGAAAAGAAACCAACAGGGAUUGCCUCAGUAACGGCGAGUGAAGCGGCAACAGCUCAAAUUUGAAAUCUGGAGCUUUCAGCUUCCGAGUUGUAAUUUGAAGAGGAUGUUUCGGUUGCGGCUAUGGCCCAAGUUCCUUGGAACAGGACGUCAUGGAGGGUGAGAAUCCCGUAAAUGGCUGCUGGCUUGCUUCUAUGUGAAACUCCUUCGAAGAGUCGAGUUGUUUGGGAAUGCAGCUCAAAAUGGGUGGUAAAUUUCAUCUAAAGCUAAAUAUUGGCGGGAAACCGAUAGCGCACAAGUAGAGUGAUCGAAAGAUGAAAAGCACUUUGAAAAGAGAGUUAAACAGUACGUGAAAUUGUUGAAAGGGAAGCGCUUGCAAUCAGACUCGCUUUCGGUUGAUCAACGUUCCUUUUGGUUCGUGCACUCUGCCGUUGGCGGGCCAGCAUCAGCUGGAGCGGUGGGACAAAGACAGCGGGAAUGUGGCUCUCUUCGGGGAGUGUUAUAGCCUGUUGUGCAAUGCCACCAGCUCCGGCUGAGGUCCGCGGUUCGCCUAGGAUGCUGGCUUAAUGGUUGUAAGCGACCCGUCUUGAAACACGGACCAAGGAGUCUAACAUCUAUGCGAGUCUUUGGGUGUCAAACCCAUGGGCGUAAUGAAAGUGAACGGAGGUGGGAGUCUUCGGAUGCACCAUCGACCGAUCCUGAUGUUCUCGGAUGGAUUUGAGUAGGAGCAUAGCUGUUGGGACCCGAAAGAUGGUGAACUAUGCCUGAAUAGGGUGAAGCCAGAGGAAACUCUGGUGGAGGCUCGCAGCGGUUCUGACGUGCAAAUCGAUCGUCAAAUUUGGGUAUAGGGGCGAAAGACUAAUCGAACCAUCUAGUAGCUGGUUCCUGCCG